GGGGAUGACCGGUUUUGACAGCAGGUAGAGUUCGAUUGUAAGCACGUCGAGCGCUGUGCGGCAGCUCGUAAAUCCCGACGCUCAACGUACAAAUGGCAACAACAGCUAUGCACUCGCUGCCUAAUUUUCAGAGAAAAUUGGCUUAAUCGCCGGGUCCAAGGAGGUUCGGCGACGAGUAUCCCGAAGGGUGGUUCCGCUCUUUAACCGCUCUUCAUACGGGGUAUCGUUCAUUUAGAGAUAGUACGGUGCAACGCCUCGGGCGCCGUGCGAAACAAAGAGGCUGGGACUUGGGUUAGGC
RNAcentral lists this transfer-messenger RNA (298 nucleotides) under Alistipes communis. RNAcentral describes it as "partial transfer-messenger RNA". It matches the Rfam family "transfer-messenger RNA", at positions 1 to 251 of the family's 374-position model. From Rfam's summary of the family: Bacterial tmRNA, also known as 10Sa RNA or SsrA, is named for its dual tRNA and mRNA-like properties. Its role is to liberate the mRNA from a stalled ribosome. Lineage: Bacteria; Pseudomonadati; Bacteroidota; Bacteroidia; Bacteroidales; Rikenellaceae. The record is from RNAcentral.